UACGAAGGGGGCUAGCGUUGCUCGGAAUCACUGGGCGUAAAGCGCACGUAGGCGGAUCGUUAAGUCGGAGGUGAAAUCCUGGAGCUCAACUCCAGAACUGCCUUCGAUACUGGCGAUCUUGGAGUCCGGGAGAGGUGAGUGGAACUCCGAGUGUAGAGGUGAAAUUCGUAGAUAUUCGGAAGAACACCAGUGGCGAAGGCGGCUCACUGGCCCGGUACUGACGCUGAGGUGCGAAAGCCAGGGGAGCAAACGGG
Molecule: ribosomal RNA, 254 nt
Filed under: uncultured bacterium
Lineage: Bacteria
Description: partial 16S ribosomal RNA
Rfam family: Bacterial small subunit ribosomal RNA
Source: RNAcentral